Molecule: ribosomal RNA, 1089 nt
Filed under: Triticum aestivum (bread wheat)
Lineage: Eukaryota; Viridiplantae; Streptophyta; Magnoliopsida; Poales; Poaceae
Description: partial small subunit ribosomal RNA
Source: RNAcentral
AUGUCGAGCGCGGUGGUGAGCGGGCUGGCCGGCGCCGGCGGCGGUAUCAUCGCCCAGAUCAUCACAUACCCCCUCCAGACCGUGAACACCCGGCAGCAGACAGAGAGAUCAGCGAAGAAGAAAAAGGCCGGUGGUGGUGGCUCUGACGCUUCCACCCUCUUCCAGAUGCUCCAGCUGGUCCAAACGGAAGGCUGGGGUGGGUUGUACAGCGGCCUCAAACCCUCACUUAUUGGCACCGCUGCCUCGCAGGGAAUCUAUUACUACUUCUACCAGCUUCUCAAGAACAAGGUCGAAGAUGUAGCAGCUGCUCGUGGGAAAAAGGGCCUAGGGGAUGGCACUGUUGGGAUGUUUUCUUGGCUUGUUAUUGCAGCUGUUGCUGGGUCAAUCAAUGUUCUUCUUACAAUUCCAAUAUGGGUUCUUGUCACACGCAUGCAGACACAUACACAGGCAGAAAGGAAGGUGAUAGAGUCCAAGAGGGAGCUUUUGCUUAAGGAAAUAUCCAGGGCCAAUCCAAUAGAUGCUCAUAUUCUUAAGGAUAGAUUAGCUAAGCUUGAUUCUGAAAAACCUCGCCCAUAUGGCACACUUCAAGCGAUCCGGGAGGUCUAUCGUGAAUCAGGCAUAAGUGGAUUCUGGAAAGGACUUGUUCCGACACUAAUUAUGGUAUGUAAUCCAUCAAUUCAGUUUAUGAUAUAUGAAACACUGUCAAAGCGUCUCAAGUCAAAGCGGUCUGGAAAGCGAUUCCCCAAGAAGAAUAUCACUGCUAUGGAGGUAUUCUUAAUAGGUGCAAUGGCAAAGCUGGGAGCUACUCUUGUGACCUACCCGUUGUUAGUGGUCAAGUCUAGGUUGCAGGCAAAACAAGAAAUUGGCAGGAACGCGGCGUCCAGAUAUACAGGUACAUUAGAUGCAAUAUUGAAGAUGAUUCGCUACGAGGGAUUGCACGGAUUUUACAAAGGAAUGGGUACAAAGAUUGUACAGAGUGUUCUUGCCGCCUCGGUCCUUUUUAUGGUGAAGGAGGAGCUGGUUAAGUUUGUAGUUCUUUUAGUUGCCAGGAGUAGGACUCUGCUUCUUACUAGAUCUAACAAACGAUAG